Molecule: ribosomal RNA, 433 nt
Filed under: uncultured bacterium
Lineage: Bacteria
Description: partial 16S ribosomal RNA
Rfam family: Bacterial small subunit ribosomal RNA
Source: RNAcentral
AACGAACGCUGGCGGCAUGCCUAACACAUGCAAGUCGAACGAGACCUUCGGGUCUAGUGGCGCACGGGUGCGUAACGCGUGGGAACCUGCCCUUCGGUUCGGAAUAACUCCCCGAAAGGGGUGCUAAUACCGGAUAAUGUCUUCGGGCCAAAGAUUUAUCGCCUUUGGAUGGGCCCGCGUUGGAUUAGCUAGUUGGUAGGGUAAAAGCCUACCAAGGCGACGAUCCAUAGCUGGUCUGAGAGGAUGAUCAGCCACACUGGGACUGAGACACGGCCCAGACUCCUACGGGAGGCAGCAGUGGGGAAUAUUGGACAAUGGGCGAAAGCCUGAUCCAGCAAUGCCGCGUGAGUGAUGAAGGCCUUAGGGUUGUAAAGCUCUUUUACCCGGGAUGAUAAUGACAGUACCGGGAGAAUAAGCUCCGGCUAACUCCGUG